GAUGAACGCUGGCGGCGUGCCUAAUACAUGCAAGUCGAGCGAACAGACGAGGAGCUUGCUCCUCUGACGUUAGCGGCGGACGGGUGAGUAACACGUGGACAACCUACCUAUAAGACUGGGAUAACUUCGGGAAACCGGAGCUAAUACCGGAUAAUAUAUUGAACCGCAUGGUUCAAUAGUGAAAGACGGUUUUGCUGUCACUUAUAGAUGGAUCCGCGCCGCAUUAGCUAGUUGGUAAGGUAACGGCUUACCAAGGCAACGUUGCGUAGCCGACCUGAGAGGGUGAUCGGCCACACUGGAACUGAGACACGGUCCAGACUCCUACGGGAGGCAGCAGUAGGGAAUCUUCCGCAAUGGGCGAAAGCCUGACGGAGCAACGCCGCGUGAGUGAUGAAGGUCUUCGGAUCGUAAAACUCUGUUAUUAGGGAAGAACAAAUGUGUAAGUAACUAUGCACGUCUUGACGGUACCUAAUCAGAAAGCCACGGCUAACUACGUG
RNAcentral lists this ribosomal RNA (497 nucleotides) under uncultured bacterium. RNAcentral describes it as "partial 16S ribosomal RNA". It matches the Rfam family "Bacterial small subunit ribosomal RNA", at positions 28 to 507 of the family's 1533-position model. The record is from RNAcentral.